CCCUUAGAUGUUCUGGGCCGCACGCGCGCUACACUGACGAAUGCAACGAGCUUAUAACCUUGGCCGAAAGGUCUGGGUAAUCUCCAAAUUUCGUCGUGAUGGGGAUAGAUUAUUGCAAUUAUUCAUCUUCAACGAGGAAUUCCUAGUAAACGCAAGUCAUCAGCUUGCAUUGAUUACGUCCCUGCCCUUUGUACACACCGCCCGUCGCACCUACCGAUUGAAUGGUCCGGUGAAAUUCUCGGACGACGCCAGGGAAUGUUAAUUCGGCACCUGGUGUUGAAAGUUAAUUAAACCUUACCAUUUAGAGGAAGGUGAAGUCGUAACA
RNAcentral lists this ribosomal RNA (325 nucleotides) under uncultured eukaryote. RNAcentral's name for it is "partial 18S ribosomal RNA". It matches the Rfam family "Eukaryotic small subunit ribosomal RNA", at positions 1470 to 1796 of the family's 1831-position model. The record is from RNAcentral.